This is a non-coding RNA of Aegilops tauschii subsp. strangulata, 5498 nucleotides long. Lineage: Eukaryota; Viridiplantae; Streptophyta; Magnoliopsida; Poales; Poaceae. The record is from RefSeq and is a predicted model, not a curated record.
GAGUCACCCGCCCAGGAGGGGCCGGGUUAUGUCAUAAUGAGAUCAUCACGUGAAGCCCAGUACCAAGCUUGAGGAUGGCGGAUCAAUAAUGGGCUUAAGACCCGGAGGCGGCUUAAGGCCCGUAGUGAUAAACCGCCGUUAUGGCAAGACUUGUAAUGUAAGGCAAGAGUAGUUAAGAGUCCGAGCCGGAUACUGUUAUAAGCCGGCCGGGACUCUGAGAGCCGCUGGGCGUCAACCUCUCUAUAUAAAGGGACGACCCGGCGGCGGUUCAGGAAGAGGGAGAACAGAUCGAUAGCUAGGCAUAGCAAUUAAGCUCCCUGGUCAUCGAAACCCUAAGUAAUACCACCCCCACUGGACGUAGGCUUUUACCUUCACCGUAAGGGGCCGAACCAGUAUAAUCCUCGUGUUCCUUGUCCCUCUUAACCCCUUUAAGCUUCCUAGCUGCGAUGGCUCCACGACUAAGUCCUUGCACGAGGACAUCUGCCGUGACAAUUCCACGACACACAUAUCUUUAACAAUGCACUAUGUUCUGACAUCAAGCAGGUCUAGUGGCUUAUUUUAGUGACUCAGAAAAAAUGGAGGAUCUUGCACAAGGAUGUGAACCUUCCACAAGUGGAUGCUCUAGCUCAGGGACACUCUACAUGGAUAAGCUCAGAGGUGGAGCUAUGUGUACUCCAGCCCCCCGAACUUUGACCAUGUUUUGAAGGUAAAAAUCUGGAUGGCUUAGGUUCAAAAAGUUUGGAUAUAGAUGGGUUGUGGGAGAUGGUACCAAAAUUAGGUUCUGGGAGGCCAUUUCGUUUAGGACAUCUCCUCCUUCUAUCCAAUUCUGGCCCUUGUAUUGCAUUUGUCACCAGCAAUGCUCUCACAUUUGGGACUCACCUUUAUGAGGAACUCUUCUUGUGCUAUGAUGGAAUCCUUGUAUAUCCUUGAACAAAUUGUGACUCUCAUUUGGCAACAUGAAUCUAAAGGUGAAUAUUCAACCAGUUCUUUGUAUAGCAUUAUCAACUUUAGGGGUGUUCAACCCAUAUACAUACCGUUUGUCUGGUAUAUUUUGGUGCCCCCCUAAAGUUCAAGUUUUCCUCUGGCUAUUAUCUCAGAACAAGCUUAUGACUAGCAGAUGGGUCUUUGUAGUCGAUCUCUUCCGGCGUGUUUGAGGGGUCGUCGUGCCUCACUUUGUCUUUCUGAAGUCGGAGCUGCUGAGGAGGGUCCCUUGCGGUGAUGAUGACUAAUACCUCCUUUUAGUGAUUCGAUAAUGCAAUAGAAAAGUGUAUCCCACACCUAUUUCCCCAGAGGAGACCCUGGGUUAUUGAACCACGAAAGGAAGAUCCCCUUGAAGCAAUGGUCUCUAGCAAGCUUUUGUCAAAGGAUCAAUUCCAGCUUUUGACCGGAUCAAUUAAGCAAACAGUGAUUCAAACACUUAUAAUAAAAAGAGGUACGUGUAUGAGGUUUUAAUGCUUACAACCAUGUAUUUGUGUUGGUACUAGAUAUGAUCUUAAUUUGUGCGCCGGAAGUUGCUCACUGAGAUGUGCUUGUUACGAACCGAAGUGGGAGAUGUGUCUGAAUAACAUCUUGACCGACAUGAGUCAUGCAUCAAGAAUCAAUUGCCCUACCACAGGCCCUAUCGGUCGCGCAGAGUUGCCUUGAUAAUUAAGAUAAUGAAAUCAGACAAGAGCUUUGGGCAUUUAAUGACUACACCUCAUGUAUCCCCAAGGAUAGGAUCCAUGUUACCCUACUAAACCUUAAUGUCACUGGUGUUCUGUACAACUCUUCACGGUCUCCUUGCUCCUAGCCUCACUGUGACUCGAUCUCCAUGAUCCUGGGUACCUGCAGGGAUGAAGAUCGCAGACAAGACAAGAGACAUCUAUGGAACAAUUUUAUUGCACACAUACGGGGUGUUAACUCAAAGCCCUUCCAUUGAUCCCCACAAUAAAUAUAGAGGGUUGCAAGACCUAUGCCUCAACCCAUACCUUACCAAACUACUCACGUAUGGAGAUCAGAUCGCGAGAAGAAAACAUUGAAGAAUACAUAUUGAAGAUUGAUUGAUUGCAAAUAUGUCUUACAAUGGAUGCCUUGUGCGAUGCACGAUUACAAGUAUGAACUAGACGAGGAAGCACUAUGGUGGGGAUGGUGGCUAUGGAGAUGGAAAUGGCGACUACUAGGGUUUGUGGAUGAAGAUGAUGAUGAUAAUGUUCUGGCUUCUGUCGAUGCUCACCUGUUGACAUGUCUAUGGGGUCCUCUUUAUAAAAGUUGUUCAAGUGGACAAUCUGCCUCAGUUUCCAUGCCAUACGGGCGCUUUCGUCCGUAUGGAAUGUCGUCUUUUGUGCUAUCUUUGCAGACACGCCUCUUGUUGUUUCCUUCUUUCUUCAUUUCCCUUCCUUUCCAUUUCCACGCAUGAUUUCUUCCCUUUUUAGCCCAUUUUGUGUGGAAAGACAUCAAAGAGAGGAUUUGUGGAAUCCUUUGCAUUCAUUAGUCAUUAGUGGUAAUAUCAGAGCGAAUAUCACUUUUUAAAUGAAAUAUAUCGGUUUAAACUAAGGUAGAUGAGUGUAAAAAUAUCACUCAUCAAUGACACGAGACAGGUGGUCGUUUCCGGCGCUGGCUCAGCGCAAGCCCAAUGCUUUUCUCCCGCAAUGCUCGUCAAGAGAGCCGGAACUGCCUGGUCACCGGCGCGUGCGGUUGACUGUUUGGCAUUUAUAGGUGCGGACCUCCAUGCUUGUUUGCGGUGAGGGCUACAUCAAGGUCGUCAAUGGUGGAGUCGAGUCACCCUUGCGGAGGAGUGAGCACGAUGACACCGGACUGCAAUCUCGAUGACGCUUUUCUCCUCGACGGCCUGUGUUCAUUCUUGUGUGGGUUGCCAGGUCGCCAUGUGUGCCUUGUUUUUCAGACGUGGUGUGAUGGUUUUUGCCGGUUUUCCAUUAGUUAACCGGGCAACUCUCUUCGAUCUUUUUUGAAUGAAUCAGAUACUAAGGGGAGGGCCGCGUUUCAAAGAAAAAACUGCAGAAAAGGAGUAUCAUCAAACCACUAGACUGUGUUUUCUGUUCAUAGCAUGACACCAUCUCACUUCUUUUCUUUGAUUGUGUGGUUGGUAAAGAACUUUGGAAGCAUCCCUCUAGUGUUGUCAAAAUUAAUGUGGGUGCUGGUUACUUUUCUAUUGCUAGAUUUUGGCCCGCGGAUAACAAAACAUAGUUGGCCUGAGAAUAACAUCAAUCAUGUCUAGUAGCUUAUUCUAGGAUGUGUUUGGUUAGAGGGACAUGCUAGUGUGGUUAUGGGUAUCCCCAACCGCCCAUUUAGGGAUAGACAUUUUUUUGUUUGGUUGGUGUGUGAGGUUAGCCAUGUUUUGUUUGGUUUGGACUUUGGAUGAUGAAUCAUGGUUGGGGAUAACCAUUCCUGGAAGAAAAUCAAGGAUAUCAAAGAGAUGUCCCCUCGCUCCCCGGCCCCUUUGUCCAUUGAGCUGCUGUUGCACAACAAACUAAGGAUUAACACUUUGGAGAGCUACCCCUACCCCGCGUCCGACCCCGCGUCGUCCUCAACCGGGCGACACGGGGGACACAACUACCAGCCGCCGCCGGCCUCUCCCUCACCUCCCUCCCUACCCCCGCCGCUGCCGGAGGAGGCCGGCCGACGGCGGACGGCGGCGGCGGGGCGUCCUUAGAGUUUCCUUCCUUUUUCCCCUCGCCCUAGCUCAUUCUCCCAUCCCCACAUCCAUGUCGAUCUGAUCUGAUCUGAUUGCUAAGACAACCCUGGCCAAGAUAGUGGCGCCAAUCUCGCCGUGGACAGCGGCGUUCAGUCACAACGGCGAGGCGCGCGCCCCUCCAGCCGCGGUCGUCCAUAGUGACGGAGGCGAGGGGCAUGAUGCCAUCCGCGGCUGCCCACAGAUGUUUCUUGUCUGGUACAGUUGUGUGGCCUUUUCCCGGGAUCUUCGGCGCUAAGCACGGAUCACAGUGACGAGGUACAAGCGGCGGCACCACCACAUCGUAUUAUCCACCUCGUCGGCCAAAAAUUAACGGAGGUGGAUAUGUCUAGAUGGAUUGAAGGCCAGAUGUUCUACACACGUAUACUGUGUGAACUUGGUAAUGGCGGUGAUGUAGAAGAAGACUGGAUGGGACAGAUCGAAAGAAGUUUGCGUGUUGGACAAUUGGAAUUUUGCAGCAGUAAUCUCGACGAGUGGGGCAGCAACACUGGCAGACUUCGUUCUUGGUGGUCUCAGUUUCCGGGGUGAAAACCCUAGGUCUUGUACCUGACAAUGGCGGCUUCCUAGUCGUUUCCUUGUUGAAGGCAUUGUUUGGAGAUUGGACCUUCUCCAGGGUGAAAAUCCAGGAUCUGACUGUGAUAGUUGGACCGGACGACGAUAGUAUUUGUGCACUAUAACCUUUCUGAAGGCGUCGUUUUUGGAGAAUCCUUUUCGGAGUCUACGUGUUGCCAUCACUAGUGGUGCUCUUGCAGCUGUGAGCCUUUCUUUGUUUCGACGGGGCCUUUGUUUUUUUCUCUUCUUUUAUUUUUUGGUCGUGUGCAUCCGUGAUGUCUAGAGACUAGAGUUGCUCUAGAUAUUAUGCUGUUGCAGAGGCUGGGUGUAAUUGGUAGCAUCUUGAUAUUAAUAUAUUCCCUUUGUCGAAAAAAAACACUUUGGAGAGAAAAAUCAAGGGGAGGUAGCACGCACCAGUACACCACGCACACGCAACAUAGCAUGCGCAGACCACACACACCACGCCUAGUGAGUACAUCCUGCAUGCGCAUACGACACAUACCACGGCCGGUGAGUACAUCACGCAUGCCCAGCCGGAGAGAAACCGCCUCCAUCCCUAGGGCUCCAACGGCCGCGCGCGACACUCACUGGUGUCUGCCGCCUCCAUGACCUAUGCCGGGUUAACGUUGCAACCCCGAUGCACAUAGAUGGUCGAUAGAGGAAGAAGAGAUGGCACGACAAGUAAAGAACGCAAGGAGAGACCCAUGCCGUCGCCUCUCACCUCUCAAUUACCGUGCUCCGAUCUAUUGGGUUGGCCUUUUGUGUGAGAGGUGAACGAAAUAAGACCGAGAAAACGUUUCGCGGCCUGCCUUUGCAUCGUGCGUGCGCUCAGGAUGCCCAGAUCUGCGAGAUUUUCGCGGACAGGUAGAGCCUCGUUUUGCGGGAAUAUUCCGAGCAUCCGGCCAUCCCUAUUCCUACUCACCCACCAACCAAAUACUAACAAGUAUCCAUGCAAAAGUACGAUUAUCCCUAUCCCGAACAGUGAUAACCCAUCAUCUAAACACAUCCCUGUAGUCAUCGCCAUGGAUGUGGUUGCAGCAAAAAAAACUCGAUCUACUUCCCCAACAACUCGCAAUGCCCUAAACACCUCGGUUGAAAAACACCCCGCACCGCCGCUACACCUCGCCGUUGUUCUUGGUUGCAACUCUUAUUUGCACGAGCGUGAAAGCAAAAAAUGUUGACACCGGUGGUAGCAAAAAUUGACAAUAAUCGCAGCAAAAACCACAUAGUUGUGGGUCUCGGUAACAUCAUGAGAAAA